RNAcentral lists this ribosomal RNA (497 nucleotides) under uncultured bacterium. RNAcentral describes it as "partial 16S ribosomal RNA". It matches the Rfam family "Bacterial small subunit ribosomal RNA", at positions 28 to 507 of the family's 1533-position model. The record is from RNAcentral.
GACGAACGCUGGCGGCGUGCCUAAUACAUGCAAGUUGAGCGCUGAAGGUUGGUACUUGUACCAACUGGAUGAGCAGCGAACGGGUGAGUAACGCGUGGGGAAUCUGCCUUUGAGCGGGGGACAACAUUUGGAAACGAAUGCUAAUACCGCAUAAAAACUUUAAACACAAGUUUUAAGUUUGAAAGAUGCAAUUGCAUCACUCAAAGAUGAUCCCGCGUUGUAUUAGCUAGUUGGUGAGGUAAAGGCUCACCAAGGCGAUGAUACAUAGCCGACCUGAGAGGGUGAUCGGACACAGUGGGACUGAGACACGGCCCAAACUCCUACGGGAGGCAGCAGUAGGGAAUCUUCGGCAAUGGACGAAAGUCUGACCGAGCAACGCCGCGUGAGUGAAGAAGGUUUUCGGAUCGUAAAACUCUGUUGGUAGAGAAGAACGUUGGUGAGAGUGGAAAGCUCAUCAAGUGACGGUAACUACCCAGAAAGGGACGGCUAACUACGUG